AAACUCGGGGUGCUGAAGCCGCCGUGCCGACGCUGAGAUGAUACCCAUAGAACCUGACGCGGAUAAUGCCGCCGCAGGGAUGCAGUGA
RNAcentral lists this non-coding RNA (88 nucleotides) under bovine gut metagenome. The record is from RNAcentral.